ACCACUCUGGUCGUGCUGGAUGUCUAACCUGGGUCCGUGAUCCGGAUCAGGGACAGUGUCUGAUGGGUAGUUUAACUGGGGCGGUUGCCUCCUAAAGAGUAACGGAGGCGCCCAAAGGUUCCCUCAGCCUGGUUGGCAAUCAGGUGUUGAGUGUAAGUGCACAAGGGAGCUUGACUGUGAGACCGACGGGUCGAGCAGGGACGAAAGUCGGGACUAGUGAUCCGGCAGUGGCUUGUGGAAGCGCUGUCGCUCAACGGAUAAAAGGUACCCCGGGGAUAACAGGCUGAUCUUCCCCAAGAGUCCAUAUCGACGGGAUGGUUUGGCACCUCGAUGUCGGCUCGUCGCAUCCUGGGGCUGGAGUCGGUCCCAAGGGUUGGGCUGUUCGCCCAUUAAAGCGGUACGCGAGCUGGGUUUAGAACGUCGUGAGACAGUUCGGUCCCUAUCCGCUGUGCGCGUAGGAAUAUUGAGAAGGGCUGUCCCUAGUACGAGAGGACCGGGACGGACGAACCUCUGGUGUGCCAGUUGUCCUGCCAAGGGCAUGGCUGGUUGGCUACGUUCGGAAAGGAUAACCGCUGAAAGCAUCUAAGCGGGAAGCCUGCUUCGAGAUGAGUAUUCCCACCCUCUUGAAGGGUUAAGGCUCCCAGUAGACGACUGGGUUGAUAGGCCAGAUGUGGAAGCCCUGUAAGGGGUGGAGCUGACUGGUACUAAUAGGCCGAGGGCUUGUCCUCAGUUG
RNAcentral lists this ribosomal RNA (733 nucleotides) under Streptomyces anulatus. Its description in RNAcentral is "partial 23S ribosomal RNA". It matches the Rfam family "Bacterial large subunit ribosomal RNA", at positions 2199 to 2925 of the family's 2925-position model. Lineage: Bacteria; Bacillati; Actinomycetota; Actinomycetes; Kitasatosporales; Streptomycetaceae. The record is from RNAcentral.